ACGUUAUGAACAGAAAAAUCUAUGCUAUUGAUGCUGUCCUCAUAGUUGUUAUAAACGAUGCGCAGCAGUGACAGUUAAUGGAAAACACUAAGGGUCUUGCCGUGGUAACUCUGGUAAACGUGGAAAAAAAUGUACGAUGGAUAGAAGUUGUGAGGGACAUGAAAAGUGUUGUUAUCGAAGAUGCCGAAAUUGUUAAGGAUCUUUAUCUUGUCAAACAUUAGUUCGAAAUGAUUAGUUUUAAGAAACUAAAAUCAUUAGGAAACAUCAUUUAAAAGAGGGACAGCUAAAGUACUAGGACAUGGUGACAGUAUCGAGGGAUUUGAAUUGUAUAUGGGUUUGUAAAAUUGCACAAUAUUAAUCAGAUACUUCUUAACUUGAACAUUCUAAUGCACUCAACUUUUCCUUUUGAUACAUUUAACACCUCAAACACAAACGAUUACAAUUUAACUUCGCUAAACUUUCGCAGUAUAUUCUUAUCUAGGUUAUGGACCUACACAAAAAGCUUAAGAUAUCCAGGUGAAAAUCGAGUUGUGUACCAGACUGCUGGUUCAGCCACUAUUGAAAAAAACGAAAAUCAGUUGUCCGAAUGGUACGAGAUAUGAAACUGACCUAGACUAAAAAAUGGCGGGAAAAUGCAUAAACAUGUUAAGUAAGGACAAUUUGAUAAUUUAGAAACGAAAGAAUACAAACACAAAAGGUGUUGCAAAUAUAUAUGAAACCUAUGAACAUCACAAACAGAAAAUCACCGUAACAAAACUGAAUAUACCCUGGAAUGCAUGAAAACUUAUGUUUGUUUUUUUAUGCCAUUUAUUAACAAGGAGAAAGAUUUCAAUAAAAAUGACAUUUAUUAAAAACGACGUACACAGUUAUUCACAACAACAGGAGAGUUCAUCGUACAAAGUAUAAUAAUUAAAUGCACCUGAUUUAAAGUAUCUGUUAAUUAAAGAAAAACAGCUUGAAUAAAGAUAACGUACAGAAAAUGGGACUAACAAAAAGGUGGCAAUAUAUCAAAUCAAUAAUAACAUUAAACAAUAAUGAAACUAUUAUUUUAUAAACAAUGUGGAAAGUUAUUGAGGUUGGUAGAGGUUUCAAAGAUUUUCCAAUGAACAGUUUUGAACCAUUUUUUUCUGAAACGAAAACAAAAAGCCUCAUAACAAAUCUGGUAUUUACUUAGUUCGCGACAUAUAAAGAUUGCUUAAUUAUUUAAUACACACUCAGUUCAGAUAUAGAAUGAUUUAUUCAAAUGAAGGUUGUCCACAUUAACAUAAUUUAAUUUACUUUUGUCAGUUUGAUUUUACUAUUUAAUUUAUUUGCUAUGGCCUAAAUUGACCCUAAAUUAUUUUCAGUCUUACUUGGCCUAAGACCAUUUUGUACUCAUAUGAUGUACUAUUUGUAAUUUUUCUUUCCGUGUAAAGUACAUUAAAUACAUAUGGAAGGAUUAUUUUUAACAAAAAAAUUUCACAAAUUUAAAAUUGCUGGAAAAUAUUACAUCUUCAUGUAAGGCCCCCCUUCAUUCAAAAACCUUCAAUUUCAUUCACAGGCUCGUAUAAAUUUUACUUUUGAAUAAUUGUAAUAAAUCUGAUACAUCAAAUGAGUGUUCUUUUGCUUUUAAUACAUGAUAUUUUAAAUAUUAGGGCAUUUAAAAAGUUAUUUUUUACAAUUUUUGAAUUUUUAAAGCCCUAAAUGUUGAUAGUUGAAAUUCUUCAAUUUUAAUGUCAAAAGCUACACAGUUAUGUCCUUUGAUUUUCAUUGUCUACAAAUAUAGUCCCUAGUGUGGACACUGUGUUACUUGCUAUUUUUGUAUACCCCUUCCAUAUUUAUUUCUUCAUGUUUUAUGCCUCAAAUAGCAAGUAGGGGGAUGUAAUUACACUGUAAAAAAAUUUGGUCAUGAAUUUUAAAGUAAAGUUGUGAUUUGGUCCAGCUAAAAAAGGUUAACAAUUAGUAUUUCGGAAGCUGUCAAAAGAAUUCAAGACCCCCUUAACAUGAAAUUGUCCAUAUUUCGAGUUAGAGCUGAUGAAGUUUUCUAUAAUUUUGAUAUAAUUUGUCCCAAAAGUAUUACACCACAUUGUAAAAAUAUUCAUGAUAAUGUUGAGAAAGCGCAGGUGGGAUUUUUUAAUUUUCAUUUAUUGUCUAAAAGAAAUCACUAUGAAAUAACUGUGUUCUCGGGCCAUGCUUGAAUGCUUUCUCCUACCUAAAUAAAAGUUGUUGUAAUUGUGAUUUUCAUGGAAUAUAAUUUUAGAGUACUUACACAAUACAUAUAAACUAAAGAGUCUUUAGAGUCAAAGCUAUUAUUUGAAUAAAAAAUUCCCUCUUGGUAUUGAUCUUUAAACUAUUUGCAAAAAAGAAUUAAUAGGGUUGACAGUCUAGCCUUUGCAAGCAACUUUAGAUUCGAAAUUUUAAUUAAAAAGUUUUUUUAUAAACACUAUGAAAUACAGUGGAGAAAACAAAUGCACAAUUGUGCUGAUAGGAAGCUUUGUAGCUAUAGCACUUUUAAGACUCAUUUUGGUCUUGAAAGAUAUCUUACUUUAUUACAAUUACCUGAGCAGAGGAGAAAUUUCACUCGAUUGCGUAUUUCUUCUCACAGACUAAGAAUUGAACAAGGUCGCUAUCAGGGUACUCUCCGGCAAGACAGAAUAUGUCUCAGGUGCACCUCAAAUGAAGUUGAUGAUGAAAAACAUUUUUUAUUUUCGUGUACAUCAUCUCAAGAUAAGAGAAAUUGUUUAAAUUCCACUAUUAACUCACUAUGCCCAAACUUUACGCAUUUGAUUCCUAGCCAAAAACUGAUAUGGCUUCUUAAUGUAGAGAAUCUUGAUAUCUUGAUAUCUGUCUGUGAGUUAGUUGAUGAAGACAAAAUAUAACUUGAAAGAUAAAUAUUUAAAUCAGGCUUUCUGCACUAGGCACGAGGUUGGCAUGGUGGGGUACAGGACACAUCGUACAAGUUCUAUUACUUUUCUGUUUGUGAUAUUUUUUUUAUUAAACUGGUAAUAUUUUAUCUUUUUGUAAUAUGUGCACUUUGGCAUAUCAAUUAGCAUUGUCCCUUGGUGCCUCUUGCAGUUGUGUCAAUAUAAAUAGUACUGACUCCUCUGCACCAGGCACGAGGAUGACAUAUCAAUUAUUACAAUAUCUUACCAUAUCAUUAAUCAUGUUAAUGUCCCGAUACACAUUUUAAUAUGCACCCACCAUGCCAUAUAGCACCGUCCCUUGGUGCCUCCUGUAGUUAAGCUAGAUAUAUUUAGCCUACUCACAGAAUUCUUUUUUGUUACUUUCAAGAGGUCGGCCUGAGACGAAGGUUUUAUACAUACCCCUAUAUAUCACAUGUAUAUAUACGAAUAUGUGAAAACUGUUGUUUCUUAUUUGUGUUUGUAACUAUCAUGACUAUGUAUACUGUAUUGUUUAUCAUAUUUGUAAAAAUAAUAUUAUAAUGAUAUUAUAUUAUGCUCCUUGUGAGCCCAUUUGAUGGAAAUAAAGCAUCUUCUUCUU
Molecule: long non-coding RNA, 3480 nt
Organism: Mytilus californianus (California mussel)
Lineage: Eukaryota; Metazoa; Mollusca; Bivalvia; Mytilida; Mytilidae
Exons: 4
Source: RefSeq, a predicted model, not a curated record